This 466-nucleotide ribosomal RNA is filed under the name uncultured bacterium. RNAcentral's name for it is "partial 16S ribosomal RNA". It matches the Rfam family "Bacterial small subunit ribosomal RNA", at positions 28 to 507 of the family's 1533-position model. The record is from RNAcentral.
GAUGAACGCUGGCGGCGUGCUUAACACAUGCAAGUCGAACGAUGAAGCUCAGCUUGCUGGGUGGAUUAGUGGCGAACGGGUGAGUAACACGUGAGUAACCUGCCCUUAACUCUGGGAUAAGCCUGGGAAACUAGGUCUAAUACCGGAUAGGAGCGCCUACCGCAUGGUGGGUGUUGGAAAGAUUUAUCGGUUUUGGAUGGACUCGCGGCCUAUCAGCUUGUUGGUGAGGUAAUGGCUCACCAAGGCGACGACGGGUAGCCGGCCUGAGAGGGUGACCGGCCACACUGGGACUGAGAGACGGCCCAGACUCCUACGGGAGGCAGCAGUGGGGAAUAUUGCACAAUGGGCGAAAGCCUGAUGCAGCGACGCCGCGUGAGGGAUGACGGCCUUCGGGUUGUAAACCUCUUUCAGUAGGGAAGAAGCGAAAGUGACGGUACCUGCAGAAGAAGCACCGGCUAACUACGUG